Molecule: ribosomal RNA, 254 nt
Filed under: uncultured bacterium
Lineage: Bacteria
Description: partial 16S ribosomal RNA
Rfam family: Bacterial small subunit ribosomal RNA
Source: RNAcentral
UACGUAGGCAGCGAGCGUUGUUCGGAGUUACUGGGCGUAAAGGGUGUGUAGGCGGUUGUUUAAGUUUGGUGUGAAAUCUCCCGGCUCAACUGGGAGGGUGCGCCGAAUACUGAAUGACUUGGAGUGCGGGAGAGGAGAGUGGAAUUCCUGGUGUAGCGGUGGAAUGCGCAGAUAUCAGGAGGAACACCAAUAGCGAAGGCAGCUCGCUGGGACGUUACUGACACUGAGGCGCGAAAGCGUGGGGAGCGAACAGG